GACGAACGCUGGCGGCGUGCUUAACACAUGCAAGUCGAACGGAAAGGCCCUGCUUUUGUGGGGUGCUCGAGUGGCGAACGGGUGAGUAACACGUGAGUAACCUGCCCUUGACUUUGGGAUAACUUCAGGAAACUGGGGCUAAUACCGGAUAGGAGCUCCUGCUGCAUGGUGGGGGUUGGAAAGUUUCGGCGGUUGGGGAUGGACUCGCGGCUUAUCAGCUUGUUGGUGGGGUAGUGGCUUACCAAGGCUUUGACGGGUAGCCGGCCUGAGAGGGUGACCGGCCAAAUUGGGAAUGAGGUACGGGCCAGAAUCCUACGGGAGGCAGCAGUGGGGAAUAUUGCACAAUGGGCGGAAGCCUGAUGCAGCAACGCCGCGUGCGGGAUGACGGCCUUCGGGUUGUAAACCGCUUUCGCCUGUGACGAAGCGUGAGUGACGGUAAUGGGUAAAGAAGCACCGGCUAACUACGUG
RNAcentral lists this ribosomal RNA (468 nucleotides) under uncultured bacterium. RNAcentral's name for it is "partial 16S ribosomal RNA". It matches the Rfam family "Bacterial small subunit ribosomal RNA", at positions 28 to 507 of the family's 1533-position model. The record is from RNAcentral.